This 336-nucleotide ribosomal RNA is filed under the name Triticum aestivum (bread wheat). Its description in RNAcentral is "partial small subunit ribosomal RNA". The record is from RNAcentral. Lineage: Eukaryota; Viridiplantae; Streptophyta; Magnoliopsida; Poales; Poaceae.
AUGAAGCACCCCCCUGCUGGUUUAUUCAAAGGAGGCCACGUGGACAUCCGUUUUCCAAUUGGUUUUGGUCCUUGUAAUGAGAAGCAGUGGCGCGUCUCCCAUAACACUGAUGAAGAACUGAUAAAAGAAGAAGAGGAAAGGAUAAGAGACAGCUUUGAUUACCUUGACGAUGCUGUAUUUUGGGAGAAUAUCCACCACAAACGUCUUAAUUUUCGCAUAUGGAAAUCAGAGACGAAUAUGCAGGUUCGAGUCCCAAUCUCCUUCAAUUUGUUAUGUAGUUGUGUCUGUCAAGUUUUUGUCCGUUUCCCAUGUGAAUUUUUAGAUGUUUUAGAAUAA